GCACUGCUGAGGAGUCCCAUAAAAGAACGAAACAGCCGUCCAGUGC
Molecule: non-coding RNA, 46 nt
Organism: Schistosoma rodhaini
Lineage: Eukaryota; Metazoa; Platyhelminthes; Trematoda; Strigeidida; Schistosomatidae
Source: Rfam